This 229-nucleotide ribosomal RNA is filed under the name uncultured bacterium. RNAcentral's name for it is "partial 16S ribosomal RNA". It matches the Rfam family "Bacterial small subunit ribosomal RNA", at positions 568 to 796 of the family's 1533-position model. The record is from RNAcentral.
CGUGUAGGCGGCAAGGUAUGUCUGGUGUGAAAGCCCUCGGCUUAACCGAGGAAAUGCAUCGGAAACUACCUAGCUUGAGUGCGAGAGAGGGUGGCGGAAUUCCCAGUGUAGAGGUGAAAUUCGUAGAUAUUGGGAGGAACACCAGAGGCGAAGGCGGCCACCUGGCUCGUAACUGACGCUGAGACGCGAAAGCGUGGGGAGCAAACAGGAUUAGAUACCCUGGUAGUCC